Molecule: long non-coding RNA, 443 nt
Filed under: Cricetulus griseus (Chinese hamster)
Lineage: Eukaryota; Metazoa; Chordata; Mammalia; Rodentia; Cricetidae
Description: lncRNA (ENSCGRG00015004582.2)
Source: RNAcentral
GGUACUUGCUGUACAGACUGCUGCCACACUGGCUGGCUAGGUCGCUCUAGCACGCAAGUCUUGAAAUUGUUCAUUGUUCCUCUCACUGCCAGAAGCAGGAGGGUUGUUCUCUUGUCUUCACUGUGAGGGACCUACUAGAGGUCAGGAAGCAAAUGCACAGAAACUCCUUGGUUCUCCUUAGAAUUAGGUCUCCGGGAGCACUCUCAAGCUGGUGCAGGGCAGUGCAGCAUCGCCUGCUGUGACACUGGCUUUCAGGAAGAUGUCCACACUGGAAGAGUGAGAUGGAGAUGGAGAGCUAUGCAGGAGAUUGCCAACACAAGGACUUCUCUGUGUAAAACAUUCAGGAACCAUGAUGAAGCAACUGGGCUAGGAUGGUGUGGUGCAUGGUGGUUUUGAAAAAACUGGUUCCCAAAGAGAGGAAUGGCCUAGUUGGAGUAGGUGUG